CAUCAGAUGACUGAAAGCAAGUAUUGGUCUCUUAAACCAUUUUAUAGUAGGGCAAGCAACUACUUCUGAUGA
RNAcentral lists this transfer RNA (72 nucleotides) under Rugitermes sp. A TB-2014. RNAcentral describes it as "tRNA-Lys". The record is from RNAcentral. Lineage: Eukaryota; Metazoa; Arthropoda; Insecta; Blattodea; Kalotermitidae. RNAcentral also lists the same sequence under 1 other name.